This 314-nucleotide long non-coding RNA is filed under the name Gossypium barbadense (sea-island cotton). RNAcentral describes it as "long non-coding RNA (GBAR_LNC020256)". Lineage: Eukaryota; Viridiplantae; Streptophyta; Magnoliopsida; Malvales; Malvaceae. The record is from RNAcentral.
UCCUGCAUUGCUUUAGCUGCUUGGCUAACUAAUUCUUUCAAGCUUUGCUCCAUGCCCAACAACUCGUUUUUUUGCUCAAUUAUAAGGGCGGUAGAGGAACAAUCAAAACAAGCUAGUAUCUUGAGCUACUGCUUAAGUGAAGAAAACUCCCGAGAGCCGUAGAAAUGAACAGGGGUCAUAUCCAAGGCUUCCUCUAAUGUAGUCAGUGCUUCCUUCGCUUCUUGAGGAAAAAGACAAUGUUAGAAUUCGAAAGCUCAGACUCCAAGCUAGUGAAGAAUGUAUUCAUAUCUUCCUCGGUAGGAUCUUCAGGUUCA